UGGGUUCACUAAGUUGUGUUGGUUCUACCUGCUAAAUUUCCUCAAGUUCAACCUUAGAGGUAUUAAUCCUUUCUCCAAAGAAUUUUUUUUUCAAAAAGACUACCCUAAGGCUGACAAAUAUCUUUUGUUCAUUAGCAAGAUAGAAAUAAUACCCUUUAGUUUCUUUGAGAUAUCCUAUAAAAAUUUAUUUGUCAGACCUAGC
This 202-nucleotide long non-coding RNA is filed under the name Elaeis guineensis (African oil palm). RNAcentral describes it as "long non-coding RNA (EGUI_LNC045103)". The record is from RNAcentral. Lineage: Eukaryota; Viridiplantae; Streptophyta; Magnoliopsida; Arecales; Arecaceae.